This 4161-nucleotide long non-coding RNA is filed under the name Populus trichocarpa (black cottonwood). RNAcentral describes it as "long non-coding RNA (PTRI_LNC001463)". Lineage: Eukaryota; Viridiplantae; Streptophyta; Magnoliopsida; Malpighiales; Salicaceae. The record is from RNAcentral.
AAGAAUAUCACUUAUUUAUUCCCACAAAUUAACAAGAUUUAUUGCUGGGUCGUAGGAUAGCACUAUUAUAUAUAUAUAUAUCAGGUGAGACCUGAAAAUAACACAGGAAGUUUUAUCCUUGGAUGGCCCAAGGAUAAAACUCUUUCCCUUCUCCUUGAUGAUACGAGUUCAAAUUUGAAAGAAAAGUUGGCUCCCUCAAGCCUAUAAUUCAAGUUCAAAUUGUCAUGCUACGAUGAGAUAUGUCUGAAUUCGAUGGCACCCAUCUUCUCCUUUCAUUAUUUUAGUUGACCUAGAAUAAUCAAAUAGGCAGUGCCACACCAUAUAUGAACUCACUCAUUAUUGUGGUAUAUGAUUUUUGCUCCUUUUCCCAUUAUGUUUUUCCUAUAAAUAGAGAGAGAGCGGAUGAUUUUCUCUGGCAAUAGAGAGAGAGCGGAUGAUUUUCUCUGGCCAUCACACAUGUGGAACAAAGUUUCUUCCUUCUUUCUGCCCUUAAUAGACUUUGAUUUACGCUUUCCCUUACACAUAUACCUCCCCUGUAAUACAGGCAAUUUUAGUGCAUUUUGCUUGUCUCUCAUUUAGUCUCAAUCUCUCAUACUCAGAGUCUCCCUCGCCAAUCUUCUCUUACACUCGCUACUCACACCCCAGGCUUGAUUGCAGGUUAGUUUGUCCCUCGCUCUCUCUCUUUUCAUUUGACAUUCCUGCUUCAAUAUGUAUAUAUCUUUCCUUCUCUGUCUUGUUCUUGCUGUGUCCCUUUGGCCUCAGUAACAUGAUUUCAUGUUAACUAUUCUGGUGAAUGAUGGAGGAGCUACUGGUGUUUAUUCAUGUUUCAGACAACCAUUGAAAAGCUUUGGUUGUGUUUUCCGGUGUUGUCUUGAACCCUAAUCUUUCCUGGCUAAUAUCAUUUAUGUUGUGGAGAUUCGGUUAAUUGUGGUGCUUUCUCGCUUUUACCUCUGUGUUGUUGUGGAAGCACUUCUGGUCUAUUCUCUUUCUUGUCUUUGUAGGCCUAGUUAUAAUCUAUUACUUAAUUCUAAACCAAUCCAACUCUAACUCUUCUAGUCUUGUAGUAUCAUAUAUUUAUUGCCGUCUCAUGAAGUAUAUACCCUUUUCGUACUUUAUUUUAUCGUAGAGUCGAUAGCAGAGUUUUUAAAUCUGGCAAGGUGGUUUGCCCGAUUCAAGACUUGGGUUUUGACCGGGUCAUCGGGUUGCUCAAGUCAAUUCUGAUUUUUUAAAAAAAUCAAAAUGAUAUCGUUUUAGUACAAAAAACAAAAGUCAACGGGCUGCAACCGGGUCUUGUCGGGUCAACCGGGUUGUCGGGUCAACCCGCCGGGUCAUUCCGAGUUUUGAUUUCCUCUAUUUUUUUAACCCGACCCAGUUUCCACCCCGGAUCAACCUGGAUUUCAAAACUAUGGUUGAGAGCAUAUCUUAUCAGAGAAUAGUUAAUUUGAGUUUUUUUUUUGAGAAAUUAUUUUGAACAAUUUCUGAAAUUAUGAGCCAUGCUUAUAUUAGGAUUAAGAGGUAUUUGAGAAUGUGAUAAUUGUUAUUAUUUAAAAUAUAUUUUUGCUUAGAAAUGUAUUAAAAUUAAAUUUUUAUUUAUAUUUUAAAAAUUAUUUUUAAAACCAUCACAUUAAAAUAACUAGAAAACAUAAAAAAAUUAAUUUAAAGUAAAAAAAAAUUAUUUAUUUAUUUUUAAAAUACAAAAACAAACAAAUUAUAAAUCUUUUUCAAGAAGAUCAUUUAAACCCAGCUCGUGCAUUCAUGGUAUUUUAUAUAUAUAUUUAGUUAUUUCAACCAUUUUAUGAUCUACAAGGGCAAAGAAUAAAAGAAUAAGAAACGGAAUCAGUCAGGGUUAGAUCGAUGUCUUGCAAGUUGCCAUCAUUUUGGCCUUCUCCCAAUCUCAUAGUAGAUAGCCAUGGAAACCUUGCGUCUUUCUUUCUUUAUCAUGCUGGUCAUUAUAAAAUUCGUAAGAGCAUAACGAUUCCCGGCGUAACGUGUUGAGCUUUCUAUUUUACUUAAUUUGUCAGAUACUUGGUGUCUAUCCAUUCUUGAUUCUUAUUUUCCUCUUCUUUUGUUGCCUUAUUUUCUGUAAUAAACAUGUAUUAUUUUAGAUCUCGAACAAUUGUUUUUAUUUAUUUGAACAGUAUUGAUGGAUGCAAUUGUCACAUGAGAAUUCUCAAUUGUUAAAUAUGAGAUUAAUUGUGUUAUUUGAGGAAGAAUAUAUAAGGUGAUUGAUUAUUCAUUGAGGAAACAAGAAAAACCACACUAAAAUAAUUCACACCAAGGAACAUGCUUUGUCACUUUUUCCAGCACUAAGAUCCGUGAGUCGAUUGUUUAACCAAAAGAAAUGGAAAAAAAUAUAUAAGAAAGGUGAUUAGGUAGGAUUCUAGCCGAAUGAUCUUGAGUGUUUAGGAAGUGCGCACGCCCUUCUAUGUGUGGUGUCAGCUGAUCUCACCCAGUGACCCCAGAUAAUUAUGCAAGGGGACCCCAAAUGAUUGAGACGGCGAGUAGGUUUUUUUUUUUAAUGUUCGGAAGUAUAAUAAUUAUUUCAUCCAUUACAGUUUGUUUCUAUGUUAUCUAUCUUUGGUUCAUGUUAAAAAAAUAAAGGGAGAAAAGAGAGAGAGAGAUAGAUUUUUCAUAAUCCUAUCAUUUUGAAUGUGAACAGGCACCAUAAAAUGCGAAAUUCAACUCAAAUUACCUUGAUCAUCAAAAUUAGAGAGGGAAAACUGGUUUCUACAGGGACCCUGUGACAUGGUGGUGCUAUAUCUGUACCCUCUAAUGAAGACAAAGGGUUGUUACCUUCUUGGUUCUUUCCUCCCUUGGCUAGGCUUUUAGAUUCACAUGCACAAUUUUUUUUUAAUUCAAAGCUCGAUAAAUAGCUUUUCAUAAUUCUGUCACAACAAAUUUCUGUUGUUGCAUUUUGAAUGUGUUUUGCUAGUCUUAACUUUGCUUUCUCUUGUCUUUUCCUCACGUUCCUUCUCGUGAUUUUCCUUCCUUUUCUCUUUAGUAUAUAAAAUACAAGGGCAGGCAGAGUAGCAAGAUAGGCACAGAAGUACAAUCCUGCAACAGAAGAAAAAAGAUAGAAGAGAAGGAAUCAUUUUACAUAUCUUGAUCCUUUUCCAGCGAAGUUUUUGAAACGAAGUUGAAAAGAGAAGAUGGGUUUCUGGACUCUUUUUGAGGUGGCAUCUUUGCCAAUUAUACAAGUCCUACUUAUCAGCUUCUUUGGAGCUUUGAUGGCAACUGAGUAUUUGAAUCUUCUCCCUAAGGAUGCUAGAAAAUCCUUAAAUAAGGUAAGAAUCAAGAAUUUCAUUGUUUUUGUUAAGGUUGCUCUUUGUUCCCUCUACAACAACGAAAAUUCUUUUUCCCAAUGUAGCUCGUGUUCAUGGUGUUUACACCCUCUCUCAUGUUUGCUAGCCUGGCUAAAACUGUUACUCUCGAAGACAUUAUCUCAUGGUAGGCUAACAGAAAUUUGAGCUCUUCACUUUUGACAUGCUGCCAAAAGGUGUAAUCCUGCACCUUUUGGAACCAAUUUGGUGCAAUUCUUUUAGCUGGAAAAUUGAUUCAUGCUCUGCUUUGGUUGAUCAUUUCCUCAGGUGGUUUAUGCCUGUUAACAUUGGACUCACAUUCUUAAUUGGAGGCAUUCUUGGAUGGAUACUUGUUAAAAUACUGAGACCAAAGCCUUACCUAGAGGGCCUUGUUAUUGCUACAUGUUCAUCAGGUUAGUUGUGGUUGGACUAUUUAACUUGUUGCAUUCAUGCGCGUAGACUGUUGAAACCCUGAUUGUUGUGUACUUUUGGUGCUUGUUAAAAUAGGAAACUUGGGAAAUCUUCUGCUCAUAAUUGUCCCUGCAAUCUGUACUGAGGACGGAAGUCCAUUUGGUGACAGUAGCAUCUGCACCUCCGUUGGACUCUCAUACGCUUCUUUCUCUAUGGCGGUAAUCUUCGAGUUGAAACUCAACAAUGCCAUGAGACCAAGCAUUGGGAAAUCAUGUUUUCUGUAAAAUCUCAUUUCGUUUUGGUUUGCCAAUGCAGCUAGGAGGUUUCUUCAUCUGGACUUAUACAUUCCAUCUAAUACGAACGUCGGCUGCAAAAUUAAAAGCACUUCAAGCAGUAGUAGAGGUCUCAAAAGCACCCAACAAUGAUUUAGACGCUAGCCAGGAAACUCACC